This 31-nucleotide non-coding RNA is filed under the name Homo sapiens (human). The record is from RNAcentral. Lineage: Eukaryota; Metazoa; Chordata; Mammalia; Primates; Hominidae.
UGGGCUAGGAGAGCUCUUGGCAGCUCUGUCA